This 368-nucleotide ribosomal RNA is filed under the name uncultured organism. Its description in RNAcentral is "bacterial LSU rRNA". It matches the Rfam family "Bacterial large subunit ribosomal RNA", at positions 2099 to 2465 of the family's 2925-position model. The record is from RNAcentral.
CUUUACUGUAGCUUUGCAUUGGACUUUGACGGGACUUGUGUAGGAUAGGUGGGAGGCUUUGAAGCCAGGACGCUAGUUCUGGUGGAGCCAACCUUGAAAUACCACCCUGGUGUCGUUGAGGUUCUAACCUUGGUCCGUGAAUCCGGAUCGGGGACCGUGCAUGGUAGGCAGUUUGACUGGGGCGGUCUCCUCCCAAAGAGUAACGGAGGAGUACGAAGGUCUUCUAGGUACGGUCGGACAUCGUACUGAUAGUGCAAUGGCAAAAGAAGGCUUGACUGCGAGACCCACAAGUCGAGCAGGUGCGAAAGCAGGUCAUAGUGAUCCGGUGGUUCUGUAUGGAAGGGCCAUCGCUCAACGGAUAAAAGGUA